This 65-nucleotide transfer RNA is filed under the name Serendip sp. MZUSP 7987. RNAcentral describes it as "tRNA-Leu". Lineage: Eukaryota; Metazoa; Platyhelminthes; Cestoda; Tetraphyllidea; Serendipidae. The record is from RNAcentral.
GUAGUUAUGUCAGAAUAAUAUGAGUUAGCUUUAAGCGCUAAUUAUGGGUAUAAGCCCUAACUACU